GACGAACGCUGGCGGCGUGCCUAAUACAUGCAAGUCGAGCGGAUUGAUGGGAGCUUGCUCCCUGAUAUCAGCGGCGGACGGGUGAGUAACACGUGGGCAACCUGCCUAUAAGACUGGGAUAACUUCGGGAAACCGGAGCUAAUACCGGAUAAUCCCUUUCCUCUCAUGAGGAAAGGCUGAAAGAUGGUUUACGCUAUCACUUAUAGAAGGGCCUGCGGCGCAUUAUCUAGUUGGUGAGGUAACGGCUCACCAAGGCAACGAUGCGUAGCCGACCUGAGAGGGUGAUCGGCCACACUGGGACUGAGACACGGCCCAGACUCCUACGGGAGGCAGCAGUAGGGAAUCUUCCGCAAUGGACGAAAGUCUGACGGAGCAACGCCGCGUGAGUGAUGAAGGUUUUCGGAUCGUAAAACUCUGUUGUUAGGGAAGAACAAGUACGAGAGUAACUGCUCGUACCUUGACGGUACCUAACCAGAAAGCCACGGCUAACUACGUGCCAGCCGCCGCCGUAA
This 512-nucleotide ribosomal RNA is filed under the name uncultured bacterium. Its description in RNAcentral is "partial 16S ribosomal RNA". It matches the Rfam family "Bacterial small subunit ribosomal RNA", at positions 28 to 523 of the family's 1533-position model. The record is from RNAcentral.